GGGCCCAUAGCUCAGUUGGUCAGAGCAGCCGGCUCAUAACCGGCUGGUCCUAGGUUCGAGUCCUAGUGGGCCCACCA
Molecule: transfer RNA, 77 nt
Filed under: Thermoanaerobacterales bacterium
Lineage: Bacteria; Bacillati; Bacillota; Clostridia; Thermoanaerobacterales
Also listed under: 1 other name
Description: tRNA-Ile
Rfam family: tRNA
About the family: Transfer RNA (tRNA) molecules are approximately 80 nucleotides in length. Their secondary structure includes four short double-helical elements and three loops (D, anti-codon, and T loops).
Source: RNAcentral